This 1495-nucleotide ribosomal RNA is filed under the name uncultured Bordetella sp. Its description in RNAcentral is "partial 16S-23S ribosomal RNA intergenic spacer". It matches the Rfam family "Bacterial small subunit ribosomal RNA". Lineage: Bacteria; Pseudomonadati; Pseudomonadota; Betaproteobacteria; Burkholderiales; Alcaligenaceae. The record is from RNAcentral.
GGUUCGAUUCUGGCUCAGAUUGAACGCUGGCGGGAUGCUUUACACAUGCAAGUCGAACGGCAGCACGGACUUCGGUCUGGUGGCGAGUGGUGAACGGGUGAGUAAUGUAUCGUGGAACGCCUAGUAGCGGGGAUAACUACGCGAAAGCGUAGCUAAUACUGCAUACGUGCCCUUCGGGGAAAGCGGGGACCUUCGGGCCUCGCACUAUUAGAGCGGCCGAUAUCGGAUUAGCUAGUUGGUGGGGCAAUGGCCCACCGGCGACGAUCCGUAGCUGGUUUGAGAGGACGAUUUCAGCCACACUGGGACUGAGACACGGCCCAGACCUCUACGGGAGGCAGCAGUGGGGAAUUUUGGACAAUGGGGGAAACCCUGAUCCAGCCAUCCCGCGUAAAAGAUGAAGGCCUUCGGGUUGUAAAGCACUUUUGGCAGGAAAGAAACGGCACGGGAUAAUACCCCGUGCAACUGACGGUACCUGCAGAAUAAGCACCGGCUAACUACGUGCCAGCAGCCGCGUAAUGGCUGUAGGGUGCAAGCGUUAAUCGGAAUUACUGGGCGUAAAAGCGUGCGCAGGCGGUUCGGAAAGAAAGAUGUGAAACUCUAAGAGCUUAACUUUGGAACUGCAUUUUUAACUACCGAGCGCCAGAGGUCAGAGGGAGGUGGAAUUCCGCGUGUAGCAGUGAAAUGCGUAGAUAUGCGGAGGUGUCUACCUGAUGGCGAAGGCAGCCUCCUGAUAACACUGACGCUCAUGCACGAAAGCGUGGGGAGCAAACAGGAUUAGAUACCCUGGUAGUCCACGCCCUAAACGAUGUCAACUAGCUGUUGGGGGCCUUCGGGCCUUGGUAGCGCAGCUAACGUUAGUGAAGUUGACCGCCCGGGGAGUACGGCUAAUGCAAGAUUAAAACUCAAAGGAAUUGACGGGGACCCGCACAAGCGGUGGAUGAUGUGAUUAAUUCGAUGCAACGCGAAAAACCUUACUCUACCCUUGACAUGUUCUGAAUCCCGAAGAGAUUUGGGAGUGCUCGCAAGAGAACCGGAACACAGGUGCUGCAUGGCUGUCGUCAGCUCGUGUCGUGAGAUGUUGGGUUAAGUCCCGCAACGAGCGGCAACCCUUGUCAUUAGUUGCUACGAAAGGGCACUCUAAUGAGACUGCCGGUGACAAAUGGAGUAGCUGGUGGGGAUGACGUCAAGUCCUCAUGGCCCUUAUGGGUAGGGCUUCACACGUCAUACAAUGGCCGGGACAGAGGGUCGCCAACCCGCGAGGGGAGCCAAUCCCAGAAACCCGAUCAGUCCGGAUCGCAGUCUGCAACUCGACUGCGUGAAGUCGGAAUCGCUAGUAAUCGCGGAUCAGCAUGUCGCGGUGAAUACGUUCCCCGGGUCUGUACACCGCCCGUCACACCAUGGGGAGUGGGGUUUUACCAGAAGUAGUUAGCCUUAACCGUAAGGGAGGGCGAUUACCACGGUAGAUUCAUGACUGGGGUGAAGUCGCAACAAGGUA